This 407-nucleotide ribosomal RNA is filed under the name uncultured bacterium. Its description in RNAcentral is "partial 16S ribosomal RNA". It matches the Rfam family "Bacterial small subunit ribosomal RNA", at positions 30 to 526 of the family's 1533-position model. The record is from RNAcentral.
AUUGAACGCUGGCGGCAGGCCUACCCCAUGCAAGUCGAGCGGAGCGGCGGACGGGUGAGUAAUGCCUAUGAAUCUGCCUGGUAGUGGGGGAUAACGUCCGGAAACGGGCGCUAAUACCGCAUACUCUCCUCUGCGCCUAGGUCGGAUUAGCUAGUUGGUGGGGUAAAGGCCUACCACGGCGACGAUCCGUAACUGGUCUGAGAGGAUGAUCAGUAACACGGGAACGGAGACAAGUUCCAGACUCCUACGGGAGGCAGCAGUGGGGAAUAUGGGACAAUGGGCGAAAGCCUGAUCCAGCCAUGCCGCGUGUGUGAAGAAGGUCGUCGGAUUGUAAAGCACUUUAAGUUGGGAGGCGUUACCAACAGAAUAAGCACCGGCUAACUGCGUGCCAGCAGCCGCGGUAAUAC